Long non-coding RNA from Apis dorsata (giant honeybee), 937 nucleotides. RefSeq lists it as uncharacterized. NCBI's taxonomy places the organism in Eukaryota, Metazoa, Arthropoda, Insecta, Hymenoptera, Apidae. The transcript has 3 exons. The record is from RefSeq and is a predicted model, not a curated record.
UUUAAAAAAACAUCAAAAUUUACUAUUUUUAAGGUUAACUAAUGUUUGAUUAAAUAUUUUAAUAGAGGUUAAGUGAAUAUCGAGGCCAAAUCAUUUCAAAGAUCCAAGUAAAUGUGUUUGAAGAAAAAUUAUCUAUGUUCCCUUUACAAUAAACACUCCAACUAAUCAAGACUAUUGAUGUGUUGAUUGGAACCAGGUAGUCGAAGUGAUCGCUAUCAAAGCGGUACUUUUACUGACGCCCUUUCCAAGACAAAGAAUUUGUCCGAUAGCGACUCAUGAUCGGCAAAGACAUACUCGUGUUGCCAACUGCAGGUCCGUCACAGUGGAGGGGAGGAAAACGACAUUGUAAGGCCCAACUGGCAAGGCAUGUUCCUUACAUUCAACCGUUCAGCUGUAUGUACGCGGACAGGAUCUAGCCAGCUGCGGCCUUCUUCGACCUUCCCCCCACCAGACCGGAAUCGAGCCUUCUGGCCAACUAUACAAACCGGUACCCCAGCGUUCUAACAAGGAACAUCCGCGAAGCUCCGCCUUCGAUCUUGAUGGUGGUAGUUAAAUGAAAGACAAUUAUGCCAUAUGGAAUGCAGUGGAGAAUUAGCAGAAUAAGUGGAACAUAAAAAUAAACGAUUUAAAAAAAAAGAAGAGAAACAGGGACCAAUUCACAUCAAAUUCAAAGUACGUUUUGUUCAAAUAACUUUUACUAAUUAUAGUUUAACAUAUGUUCUUGCGAAUAAUUCAAUUUUUUGCCAUGACAAUCUCUAAUUUGAUGCAAUCACGAUCGAUCGAAGACAAUGAAAUCUAUUUUAAAAAUCGAAACGGAUCGAGAGAAACGUUAUUACUACAAGCUAUGUCAGGGAUAGUUGAAGUCGAUUGUAAGGAUUCCUAUUUAAAGCCUUCGACUAGCUCAUAUAAAUAGCAUUGUUCACCUUGGAUAACGAAG